This 128-nucleotide ribosomal RNA is filed under the name Herpotrichiellaceae sp. Its description in RNAcentral is "partial large subunit ribosomal RNA". It matches the Rfam family "Eukaryotic large subunit ribosomal RNA", at positions 99 to 225 of the family's 3401-position model. Lineage: Eukaryota; Fungi; Ascomycota; Eurotiomycetes; Chaetothyriales; Herpotrichiellaceae. The record is from RNAcentral.
CGGCAACAGCUCAAAUUUGAAAUCUGGCCUCUUUUGGGGUCCGAGUUGUAAUUUGUAGAGGAUGUUUUGGGUACCGCACUGGUUUAAAUUUCUUGGAACAGAAUGUCAGAGAGGGUGAGAAUCCCGUC